GGAGUCGGCCAGACGGUCGCUCGCGGUUUGCCCGCGAGAGGAAAGUCCGGGCUCCGCAGGGCAGGGUGCCAGGUAACACCUGGGGGGCGCGAGCCUACGGAAAGUGCAGCAGAAAGGAAACCGCCCGCAUCUCUCUUGUAGAGGGCGGGUAAGGGUGAAAAGGUGCGGUAAGAGCGCACCGCGCGGCUGGUAACAGGCGUGGCGAUGGUAAACCCCACCCGGAGCAAGACCAAAUAGAAAUCCGGUGCUGUGGCCCACAGUGGAUUCGGGUAGGUCGCUAGAGGCAAGUGGUGACACUUGCCGCAGAUGAAUGAUCGUCCAAGACAGAACCCGGCUUAUCGGCCGACUCCCUUU
Molecule: RNase P RNA, 354 nt
Filed under: Halieaceae bacterium
Lineage: Bacteria; Pseudomonadati; Pseudomonadota; Gammaproteobacteria; Cellvibrionales; Halieaceae
Description: RNase P RNA component class A
Rfam family: Bacterial RNase P class A
About the family: Ribonuclease P (RNase P) is a ubiquitous endoribonuclease, found in archaea, bacteria and eukarya as well as chloroplasts and mitochondria. Its best characterised activity is the generation of mature 5'-ends of tRNAs by cleaving the 5'-leader elements of precursor-tRNAs. Cellular RNase Ps are ribonucleoproteins.
Source: RNAcentral